This 253-nucleotide ribosomal RNA is filed under the name uncultured bacterium. RNAcentral describes it as "partial 16S ribosomal RNA". It matches the Rfam family "Bacterial small subunit ribosomal RNA", at positions 524 to 776 of the family's 1533-position model. The record is from RNAcentral.
UACGUAGGUGGCGAGCGUUGUCCGGAAUUACUGGGUGUAAAGGGAGCGUAGGCGGGAAUGUAAGUUGGAUGUGAAAUACCCAGGCUCAACCUGGGGGCUGCAUCCAAAACUACAUUUCUUGAGUGGAGUAGAGGCAGGCGGAAUUCCUAGUGUAGCGGUGAAAUGCGUAGAUAUUAGGAGGAACACCAAUGGCGAAGGCAGCUCGCUGGGACGUGACUGACGCUGAGACGCGAAAGCGUGGGGAGCAAACAGG